This is a long non-coding RNA of Dermacentor andersoni, 3598 nucleotides long. RefSeq lists it as uncharacterized. Lineage: Eukaryota; Metazoa; Arthropoda; Arachnida; Ixodida; Ixodidae. The record is from RefSeq and is a predicted model, not a curated record.
CCUCUUGUCCUUUGUGUUUUUUUACUUUUCUUUCCUUAAAGAUCAGUUGGUGAGCAGAUUUACCAUUUCAUCCUGGUAAUAAAGAGACACCGGUUCUCUUCUUUAAAUUCAAACUGAUAUAUUCAAAAUGUUCACAACACGUACACACACUGCGGCUGAUAAUGCGCGUCACAUGUUUGCGCCAAGGUCGAUCCUAAUAGGUCACGAAGCUUCGGGCGAUAAGUGGUUCAGUACAAAUUGUCACCGACAUCAGAAGGGUGGUUAUUGGAGCAGCGAUUGAAGCACGACUAUGUUUGGAGGGAACAAACAUUGUAAAAGAAAAAAAAGCGUUUUUUUAAUUCAAGCGAGACAUAGUUGGAUUCAUUCAACGAAAAUAAAAUUUCGGGUCAAUUAUAUAUUCAUGACGAGCUAAGAAAAUACAGGUUUAUUUAAUUUUAUUAUUAUAAUAAAUACAUUUCUUUUCAGCGCCCAUCGUUACAGGGGGUGUUGACGCCACCAUCACUCGCAAUGCAAUGCAGCUCUUGAGAUGUGCAAAAAAUGCGUGCUCAUAAAGUUCACCUGUUGAAAGACGCCCCAUUCACAAGGUGUGCUUUCUUGCUUGUCAAGACUUGUCUGAAUUUGUUGACGCGGGUAGAGUCAUCGCUUCUUAACCGGUUCAGUCAAAAGUAGAGUUACAACCGCGAGAUAAUUGUUUAGUUUUCGUGCGACUGCGCUGGCCCACGUGCUUGGCGUCCGACGAUAGGACCAGCACUCUACGCCUAAAGCUUUCGUUGGCCUCCAAGGAAAGUAUGUUCUGUGCAGGGGUGCGAUUGCGACAACCGUACGGCUGGUCUUUUCCUGCAUCGCUUUCCGUGCUGAAAGCUCGAAACGCCUAUCAAGUUGAAUGGCAAGGCAUUUGAAUAUAUAGCUCUAAAGGCAGGCCAACAAAACAAAGUUCACGGCUUCAAGAACAAAAUGACGUCACUUGUUUUUAACGGAUACGGCGUCACAUUAUUUUUUCUUCCGCCGGAAGUAUUCCCUUCACAUGAACCGCCGAUGAACCGCCAUGUUUUGAACGUAUGGGCCCCUAUGGAAGCUUCGCUACCAGGUAUAUUUACCUUGUUUGCGCUCCCAAAAGAUAUUUCCAUCUACUGUAGUUACCGAUGCAUGGAAAGGCUUCCCUGACGACUUUAUAUGACCUGCCGUGGUUGCUCAGUGGCUAAGUUGUUGGGCUGCUGAGCACAAUGUCGCGGGAUCGAAUCCCGGCCACGUCGACCAAAUUUCAAGGGGGGCGAAAUGCGAAAACACCCGUGUACUUAUAUUUAGGUGCACGUUAAAGAACCCCAGGUAGUCAACAUUUCCGGAGUCCUCCACUACGGCAUGCCUCAUAAUCAGGAAGUGGUUUUGGCAUGUAAAACCCCAUAAUUUAAUGACUUUGUAUGAACGGACAUUGCAUAAAUUUCGCAAAGUACGAUCUAAAACGUCUCAAAAUCGUUCUGCAUCACGCGAUAGCAAUACCUUCAAGCAGCGCUGCGCCGGAUCACACGAGCCAGAGAAUAGGAAAGGCUCGCCAUGCGCCCUUUCAUCCUUGACUGAUGAAAACGUCUGUAGGUGACAGGUGCAAGUAAGAGAGGAAAAGCGACGGGAGAAACUCGUUUUCACCUCACUGCAUCGAAUGCGUACAAUACCGUCUUGAGCUUCCUGGCUGUCGCCACUUUAGCCGCUUGACAGCUGUAAUUAUCUGGAACUUCCCACAGAAGCAUUGCAGAAACCGCAGAGCUUCCCUUUUUACCAACGUCUGAGGCCAGAGGGGACCCAGAUAGAACUGUAGAGAGGAGAAGAGGCAGUUCCCAUAUAAGACGGGCUCCUGGGUUUAAAUUAUGUGCGCAGUUUGAAAAAUGCUCGCGGGUAGAGAAUGAAUUGCACCGUCUAUUGUGAAGCGCCUGCAAUGUCGUCAGAUUUUAGGAAGUAGCAAAAUAGUAAGGCUAUGAAAGCCUUCUUAACGGCUUGGCCAUCCUUGAUUUAAAAGUUCCUUGCCUUAGAAUUUGUCUGCUAAUUACUGAUGAUAUGCUUUUCUUUUUUUUUUUUGUCGUAUAUGCAGGAGAGAGCCACCACUCCUUGAGUCGACAAUUUCGGCUGGGCCACUCCAGUUACGCAGACAUACGUGCACGUCGGAUCGGACGUGAAAUCGGACCGUGCUUCUCCUGCUUUACUGAGCGCAACGGUGCCGCCUGAUAUCCUCGGAAAAUGCACAGCACAAAUGAAACCUGUCGACUACGAAGUGCGACUGCAGUUAUCAGCAGGAGAGAGAAUCAAACACAAGCGAGCUGCACAUGCAACGCUGGCUGCACGAGCGCAAACACGGCGUGCCUGUAGCAGUGUUUGUAGAUGAUUACAAACACACGUCUUGCACUGAUUUGCCGUGCGCAUGGAACAAGCCUUCCACCCAACCAAACCUUGAUGCCCAGAAGUCUGUUGAGGUCCUUUUCCAAGAUAGCACGAGGAACAUCGCGUACGCCUUUCAAGCUCAAGUGCACACCGAGUGAAGACGAGGAUUGCAGAUUUUGACAGACUGGCGGAAGCAAUGGCAUCCCCGCGAUUAUUACAGCUGCUGCCCCUUCUUACGGCAAGGCAUAUGAGAAAGUAAAGAACAAGAAAGAAGCUACAGUAAAACCUCGUUAAACCGUAGUAGUAGUAAAGUGAAAUCCCUGACUCAGCAGCCAUUGAACCUAAUGUGUUUUGUAUCCGCAUAAACUGUACCAGCUUACUGCGUACAUAUCGGUUAAAACGUAGCGUUUCCACUUUUCGUCGUGCAAACACGGCGGUGCGUCGUCUCUAUCGGGCGGCCUGACAGAACAACAAGCCUCGGAGAUCGGAACAAUGGCCUCCAAGCACCCUGUGCGUUUGCACGUGAAGCCACAUCAACAUCAUUUUGACGCCGUGCCAGAGAGCGGUGUGGCGUCUUGCAACCGAGGACUCGUGUCAUGCCGAAGCUCGGAUUAAAAAGGACUUCGUCCAUGCUAGGCACCGUCCGUGCUAUCGAACGUGACACGAAGAAGUCGGUGCUGGCACGUGACAGGGAUUUGCUGUUGACUACGGUGUGUGGCAUUUAGAAUGUGAAGAAGUUGCUCGGCAGCGCUGCUGCAACCGCGUAGAGAUGUCAGCUACGAGGUUCGAUUUUUUUGCCAUCGUUGCCUCUGUUGUUGCCGAAGUGUCGACUAGCGACAGUGAUGAGGACGACACGGAAAGCGACAGCAAAGGCGAUUCAGGCCCAACAGUGGCAGAAGCUGCGCGUUAUGUCAGCCUCAUUAAUGCAAUCGUCGCGACGAGAAUAGGGUCACGAUAACAUAACUCUAUUCCAAACUGCGGCACCUGGCAAUGAAAAAGGCAUCCUGGGACUUCUGCAGCACUACUGUGCACAUGCAUGGAGAAUACGUAACACCAACGAGGAAUCUGCCAUGUGAGUGUUUGCUGAGAAGAGGGGGCUGGCUGAGAAACUGGCACACAGGUUCAGUAAGUUUGAGGCCGCUGUUGUCGUGCUAGGCCGCCGCGGCAUCAAACGAUAAUAGGACUUUUGUCGCGCAACGUGAAUAAAUACUGGAUGUUUUUUCCCCUUUCA